UACGUAGGGGGCAAGCGUUGUCCGGAUUUAUUGGGCGUAAAGAGCGUGUAGGCGGCUUUACAGGUCCGUUGUGAAAACUCGAGGCUCAACCUCGAGACGCCGGUGGAAACCGUAAGGCUAGAGUCCGGAAGAGGAGAGUGGAAUUCCUGGUGUAGCGGUGAAAUGCGCAGAUAUCAGGAGGAACACCAAUUGCGAAGGCAGCUCGCUGGGACGUUACUGACGCUGAGACGCGAAAGCGUGGGGAGCAAACAGG
RNAcentral lists this ribosomal RNA (253 nucleotides) under uncultured bacterium. Its description in RNAcentral is "partial 16S ribosomal RNA". It matches the Rfam family "Bacterial small subunit ribosomal RNA", at positions 524 to 776 of the family's 1533-position model. The record is from RNAcentral.